UACGUAGGUGGCAAGCGUUGUCCGGAUUUACUGGGCGUAAAGGAUGUGUAGGCGGAUAUUUAAGUCAGAUGUGAAAUCCCCGGGCUUAACCUGGGGGCUGCAUAUGAAACUGGGUAUCUAGAGUGCAGGAGAGGAAAGCGGAAUUCCUAGUGUAGCGGUGAAAUGCGUAGAUAUUAGGAAGAACAUCAGUGGCGAAGGCGGCUUUCUGGACUGUAACUGACGCUGAGGCAUGAAAGCGUGGGGAGCAAACAGG
RNAcentral lists this ribosomal RNA (253 nucleotides) under uncultured microorganism. RNAcentral's name for it is "partial small subunit ribosomal RNA". It matches the Rfam family "Bacterial small subunit ribosomal RNA", at positions 524 to 776 of the family's 1533-position model. The record is from RNAcentral.